CCUAUUCAGGCAACAUCUAAUGAAGAUUUUCUUUUUAGUCUUCCUACUAGGUACCAAGAACUCAUUGUGUGAUGCAGGCAUGUAGGUCCAUGGUGUCUUCUACUGGAUCUCAGUAUUUAACUAACAGAAAAGGAAAGAAAAGCAUCGUCAUGGGAUAUUUUCCUAGACUAAGCCUAAAACAACCCCCUGCCCCCUGCCCAAUACCAAUGUAGAAGUCAGGACAUAAUUUCUGCCUAAGCUUUAUCAAAUGUAUGUGUGAAUAAGGUAACACAAAAGUGACUACAAAGUCUGGGAAGAAUGUUCACAAAUUUAUAAGCAAAGUAAGAGAAAUUAUAAGCACAAGUUCUCUUUUCUCCUUGAGUGACAAGUGGGUAAAACUUGCCACUGUCUGGUACAUGUCAGGAGGGUCUCCUGAGUUAAUUUUGGAGAUAAGCAAUUGGAAGGCCCAUGACCUUGUGUUAGAGUCUGUAAACAAGUCAAAAUAACACCUGGCAUUUUGCCAGGGGAAUGUUAGAGUUGAUAAACAAGUCUGUAUGGUGCCUGGCAAAAUGCCAGAGGGAGUGGUUUGAGAAGUAACAAAAGCUAGCCAUUAAGUGUGGAGAUUCCUGAUUGGUUGACUGAUGUAUCUAGUUUAUGCUAAUUAGAUAAGCUGUG
RNAcentral lists this long non-coding RNA (654 nucleotides) under Marmota monax (woodchuck). Lineage: Eukaryota; Metazoa; Chordata; Mammalia; Rodentia; Sciuridae. The record is from RNAcentral.